This 492-nucleotide ribosomal RNA is filed under the name uncultured bacterium. Its description in RNAcentral is "partial 16S ribosomal RNA". It matches the Rfam family "Bacterial small subunit ribosomal RNA", at positions 29 to 507 of the family's 1533-position model. The record is from RNAcentral.
AGUGAACGCUGGCGGUAGGCCUAACACAUGCAAGUCGAACGGCAGCACAGUAAGGGCUUGCUCUUACGGGUGGCGCGUGGCGGACGGGUGAGGAAUACAUCGGAAUCUACUUUUUCGUGGGGGAUAACGUAGGGAAACUUACGCUAAUACCGCAUACGACCUACGGGUGAAAGCAGGGGAUCUUCGGACCUUGCGCGAUUGAAUGAGCCGAUGUCGGAUUAGCUAGUUGGCGGGGUAAAGGCCCACCAAGGCGACGAUCCGUAGCUGGUCUGAGAGGAUGAUCAGCCACACUGGAACUGAGACACGGUCCAGACUCCUACGGGAGGCAGCAGUGGGGAAUAUUGGACAAUGGGCGCAAGCCUGAUCCAGCCAUACCGCGUGGGUGAAGAAGGCCUUCGGGUUGUAAAGCCCUUUUGUUGGGAAAGAAAAGCAGCAGGUUAAUACCCCGCUGUUCUGACGGUACCCAAAGAAUAAGCACCGGCUAACUUCGUG